RNAcentral lists this long non-coding RNA (3029 nucleotides) under Sus scrofa (pig). Its description in RNAcentral is "lncRNA (ENSSSCG00065031120.1)". Lineage: Eukaryota; Metazoa; Chordata; Mammalia; Artiodactyla; Suidae. The record is from RNAcentral.
AAUUCUUGGGCAGGGAUCAAGCUGUCUGCCACCAUCAGGGAGAGCUCCUGGAAGCAGGGGAGGAAAUCCUGGAAGAAGAUCUGGGCCAGACAGCCCACCGCACGAAUAAACCCACUAGUGCCUUGCUCCCAGUGCCUCCCAGGUGGUGGCAACAUGGAGAAACCAUGGGGCCUGAUUUCCAGGCAGUUCCUCAGAGCGAUGAACCAGAGACCGGGUGGCUGAACGAGAAGGGAAAAGUUUAGGGGAGCUGGCACUUCCAGUGUCAAGCCCGAGAAGCCAGCGUGAAGAGGAGCCGCCCAGACCUUAAAUUUCCUCCUUGGUCUGCCUUCUCGCCCAGAAGUCCAACCACACAGAUCCAGGAUUGCUUACUGGUUUUGUAUUAUCUGUGGAUCUGUGCCCCUCGAGUCCCCUUAAAAUGUCAGCAAAUCCCACAGAGACAAUCUGAAGCGAGACAAGGGUUAAGAAGAGUCUUCAUGAAGUGUUCCUUUUAGAAAUUCUGGCCAGCUUAACCCACAGGGAGCUCACCGAGCCUGGGCUCUUCUGAGUCUUCUGCGAAAAUGUUUUACCCAAACAGACUCUUCCCAUUAAACGGGAUCAAACCAAGUGGUCGUUUGCCAGUGUGCUGCCUACAUCGUUGACACCUUCCCUCUGAGCUGUGUGACACCAGCCCCUCCCUCCAGCGAGCAGGGCAGGAAAAAAGCUACAAAGCACUGACCGAAUGAAUCCUGCUGGGCAAGCGCCAGGCAACCAAGAGCACUGCAUUUUGGAUGCAAGGCUCUAGUUGGUGGGUGAGAACCCUGGAACCAGAAGUAGGCUGGGAAUGCAUGGAUAUUGGGAACUUCACCAGGAAUUCCUCAAGACUUUCUACACCAUGUAAGAGAUAUAUUUUAUGUGUGAUCCCGUACACAUACAGCUGCAAGUGGACACAGAUACUAACAUACAACAGAAACCAGCUCCUAGAACUCACCCUGCUAACUCUGCUUGCCAAGGAAUAUCCAUUUAAAAACCAUUUCUUGAAUGAACCAAGCAAAACCAAACCCUAGUGAGACAAUACAUUCACCAGGUGCAAUGCACUCUGAUAUUUUCUAUUCUAUUUCUAUUCUUCAUUUCUUAAAAAAGGUAACAAUUUGCAACCCACUAAAGUAAUGUUGCCACGGCUAAUAGAGGCCCCUGUUUUGGAAGGACCGUUAUGCACUGCCUGCCCCCUCUCUGAAGAUUACAGAAACUUGUCAUGUGGGAAGCCGGGGACUGGGGGCAUUGGAGGCAAGCAGGAUGACACUGGGAUAUAACCGGGUGGGGAGAGGAAGCCUGUUGGGUGAAGCCAUGGGGGAGCCACACUGCUGGCUAAGGGCCAAGGCGCUGCUCUCUGGCUGAGGGCUAUGUUCCAUCUCCCCUCUUCCAGUCCACACACUGCCACUGUCCCCACACAGGAAACUGUCUUCACACCCAGGAAGAGUUUGCAAAUGGAGUCAGGCUGGCAAUUGCUCCACUUAGGUAUCACUCGAAGGACCAGGAGUGGGGAAAUGAGGGUUGUUUAAGCUGCUGUGAAAAUCAUGGAGUAACCUGGUAAAUGAAAAAUCCACUCUGACCCACAAGAAGCACUAAAGUGAGGAAUUAAACAACUUUGUAAAUAAAGGGAUCAUUACUCUUGAAGCAUUAAUACACGCAUAAGACCUAUUGAAAACAUCCCAUUUCAAGAUAAAUGAAGAGCAUUAGCUGCUCAUUUCCCAAUCUGGAUGGGCUGUUUUCACAGCCCAGCACUGGGGGUCUGAGGCCUGGGUCAGCAGGGGCUGGCUCAGGUGGCUUGCUAGUGGGGCUGCAGAGGGACUCAGGAGGGGACCGUUUCUGCAUUUCUGCUACAGCGAAGGUUGUAAUCACAGCCCUGCUUUUCACUAAGGGGAGGUGCCCACUGCACACCUGAUGAAGUCGGGAGGAAAGUUCUAGACCAGUGCAUUUGCCUCCUCCAAGUUUCAUCAUCAUUCACCAAAUAAGCAUAAUUGCUCCGUGUUUAAGAGGUGCUGGGAACAGGGGCGCUGCCUGUAAUUGCCUAAUGGGCGGGCGAAAUGAGGUGUGAGGCACAUUGGUGUGAAAAAAGCAAUAGCCACAAGUUUAUUAACAUUGAAAAUUAAAAUAAGCUCAGCCCCAGCCAGGCAGUCCUUGCUGAAAUGAAUCCCAUUAUCCCUCUAAUAACUGCACAGGGCUCAAUUGGAUGCCCCCCAGGAGGUAGAGAGGCCUCAAUACGGGUCACCUCUCUGCCAGCUUCGGGAGUAGCAGAGGCUCUGGUUCACAGAUGACUAUCACAGAGGAAACACAAACAGCCCUGCCUCCCCUGCAGCUCCUCCAGCUCCACUUAAAUCCACGGGCAGGUGCUUGGGGAGCUGUGAAGGGGGAGCCUGGAGAGAAUUACAUGCAAUUCUGACCUGGGUGCCUUUUUGAAUAGUUGCUGAUUGGAAUUUUCAAAAGCAAGCUGUAAGGUUCUGGAACUGACUGUCACCAGGUCCAUGUGAAGGAGGUCAGGAGCCCUGACUGGGGCUCAGCAACCAGCCCUGCCUUCUUUUUUGCACCUUGAUCAUGUUAUCAAAUAUUUCUAGAUGCCCAGGGCUAGGAGGAGAGUUGCCCUUGACCUUGAGCAGAUUCAAUCAAUGUAGGAAACAAGGCUCUCCUGGGGAGAAUAAUCAGAAAGCAAUCAGUGAAUGCUGCAGCCCAGAGCCUAAUGAAAAUGCAUCCAGGUGGGGGUGCUGCCCAGGUAAAGGAAAGGCAGAGGGAACCGCAUGAACAGAAUCUUACAGACGCGAGGCACUUGGAAGAAAGGAAGGAGGCCAACCUGGCGGAAGGCAAGCUCGGAGCUGGUAGAACUGGGUGGGUGGAGAGAGGGGCACAGGGAAAGCCUGGAGCCUGGAGCCUGGAGCCUGGAGUCUGGAUUGUAAUGCUGGAUUUAAAGGGAAUCCUUGUAGUUUUCCGAAAAGAGGAAUCAUGGGAUUCAAGAAUUUAAAUCACUCCAUAUUAAAUUCACUUUGUUUUAAAAAAUA